AGUUGCCGAACAAACUGCAGCGCAGAUGAACGCGGGCGGUGGAGCACUUCAUUUGCACUGACACUUAAAGUGCGAUGGUCAGAAGCGUAAAGUAAUUGAUCGGUAGUGUUUCUGAGCUUGUUUGCUUUAGUAUUACCCGCGGUGAUACCCCGUUGCGUGGUGAUUCCUGACGCGGUCAGUCGUCGCGACAUUCGAGAACCACGUGCGUUGGGCUAAAGCCACUAACGCGUCGGCUGGAGUGGUUGUGCUAUGCCGCUGUGUUUGACGAGCAUUACGACGUGUCGGCGAGAGGUUUACGCCGUCAUCAUACGAGACCAACAUACAAGGAGGAAUUCAAGCGAGUGACCAUUUGCGACAGGUCAAUGUGCUGCAUGAUGUCGUUCAGUCAUUGAAAUAUGCGUUCAAGCCCUCCAGGUCCCUGAUUGUGCUCCUGUAGUUCUUUGAUGUCGGGAGAGCCACAUUUCUGACCUUUUGGUGAGUGCAUAGAAUCUUCUCUCUCAAUUUUGUGACUGUGGACGGGCACUGCUUUAACAUACCGGUAAGUGUUCCCAGCAUAAGUACCAUCUACGUACGCUUGCAUGUACCAUCUUGCCUUACAAAUGCUUUUGGACGCUUACCAGCUCAAGGCGCCAAUGUACUGCAGAUAUGUGACAGCACGGCAACAUCAUAGCCCGUCUAAACGAACAGGUGUAAAAACUCAUCUGGCCAGUGAUGGUGGAGACAUCCAAUGUUUUUGUUUUAUAAAAUCAAAGCCAUAUGGUGACAACAUUAGCUUGCAAUUGUCAGCCGCAUCGAUAGCAGUUACAUCGUUAUAUGCCACUGCACAAGGGCUGUCUUUCGUGCUCUCAAAUUUUUUUUAUUAAUUUUAAUGGCAAAAAAAUAAAAUUAUUUACGUGGAGCUGAAGUACUCCACUAUCUGUUUCAGCUGGGCACUUGUGCUUUCUGUGUGGCUCUUUACUUAAUACACUGUUACUUAAAUCCCAUCAACCACUCUUCCUGGAUGGAGUGUCAGUAUGCAUUGAAAUGUGUCAUAUAUCUGCAAACAAUUACAUAGGAUUCAUACAGAACUCGGUACAGAACUCGUCAUACCUCACUUUUCUGUGCGAGACAUAGUAUUGAGGCAGUGUGUCAUGGAGGUGACAAAUGACUUAAAAUGUGACAUAAUGUCACGCGUGCUUUUACCAGACGGUAAGAUUAGACUGCCAGGAGAUUUUCUAAAGUUUAUUUAUCUCUGGCUGCCACUUUGCACAUAAUUUGUUUUAAAAGCGCUGCAGUCCGGUUCAUUCACCAUUCCUCAACCAGUUUCCUACGAUUUCCGCAGCAUUUUAUUUGUGACAUGUUGUGUGAGCGUUGCCAGCCUUGUGAAACAAAACAGUCUUGUCUUCUGUAAAAUCAUUGAGUUGCGAGAUUAUGAGGUUCUCAUUUCUGUUAGGAAAUGAUUUUUUCUCGCCCUUUUGAUCUGCCCAGCUGUACUGUUCGGCAGGUUUUGUGCUGGCAGUUACUUCAAAACCAAUUCCACCAAAGCCCCAAAAUGGAUGGAGCUGUAUAUUUUACGAAUUUGUGUUCAGGAAGUUACUCAUAGCCCAGUAUUGAAACAAGUUUAGGAAAAUUUGAUGAAUGAUAGCCUCAUUGUCAGUUCAGUUCAGUUUAUUAACCUUAAGGGCUUCCCGAAGGAAGCAUUACAUAAUGGGUGGGUUACAACUUCUCACAUAGACAUUUCAUAUUGAUUAGUUAUA
RNAcentral lists this long non-coding RNA (1736 nucleotides) under Rhipicephalus microplus (southern cattle tick). Its description in RNAcentral is "uncharacterized LOC119167629". The record is from RNAcentral. Lineage: Eukaryota; Metazoa; Arthropoda; Arachnida; Ixodida; Ixodidae.